Molecule: ribosomal RNA, 205 nt
Filed under: uncultured bacterium
Lineage: Bacteria
Description: partial 16S ribosomal RNA
Rfam family: Bacterial small subunit ribosomal RNA
Source: RNAcentral
CUCGUAGGUGGUUUGUCGCGUUGUUCGUGAAAACUCACAGCUCAACUGUGGGCGUGCGGGCGAUACGGGCAGACUGGAGUACUGCAGGGGAGACUGGAAUUCCUGGUGUAGCGGUGGAAUGCGCAGAUAUCAGGAGGAACACCGGUGGCGAAGGCGGGUCUCUGGGCAGUAACUGACGCUGAGGAGCGAAGCGUGGGAGCGAACA